CAGUGGGGCCAGUGAUUUUGCAUUUCUAAGGUCCCAGGUGACUGAUGAUACUGGCCCCUGCAAAACACUUUGUGUUCCUGGUUGAAAAAUGUUUAAAUGGUUUCUGUUGCCUGGAGCUUGGCAGUGAGCUGGUUAGAGGGGCAUUUCCUUACGAAACAGGGAGUUGGAGCUGAGUAAAUGGUUAUUGUCCCGUUUAUUUUUCCUUAUGAUUUUACCAGGUUAGGACGGGUACUCACUCAUUCACUCACUCAUAAAUUUAGAGUAAAAUAGCAAAUAGCUAUGUGCAUUAACACUGCACUGUGUGUGUUUGAAGUAUUCCAAUUUUUUUUUUUGAGAAGUCCCUAGUGGGAGAGUUUGAGUCUCUGUUCUGUAAACAAUAACUUUGACUGUUAAAUUCCACAUCUAGAGUAAUUCUUCGUUUGACCCACCUGUUUAAUUGUUUACCCAUAUCAACAUUCAUGCACCCAGCCUAGGUCAAAGUCUUAACUGACUCUUUGUGAAAGCUUAUCAGACAAAGUUUUAAUUAUUUAAGGCUAAAAUAACAAAUAAGGUUUAUCUCUUAGGUUAACUCCAUUUAUUUGUUCUUUGAUAUCUGAAGCGAUCUCUGUAGAGAGGUUCUAAGGCUACUGUUUGAGCUUGAUGAGAAAGAGCAACAGAAAUGAUUAGUGGGGGGUGGGGGGGGGGAAGGAAAUAUCCUCACAGAAGCUGAGCUCCUUAUUUGACAUCUCUGAUAAAACAUUAGGUUAUGCUGACACCACAUUGACAGCAGAUGGUCUUUGCACCCUGUGCUUUGGUUAGCAUCCAUUGUCAAAUACUUAAAUAUUGGCUAAAGCUAUUAUAAAAAUAAUUUGUUUCAAAUUCCAUUCUAUUUUUUUUAAUACUAAGAUUGCUUUUUAGGCUGUAUACUCAGAGUAACUGGGCCAAGAUUCCAGUGAAGUAUCUGGAUUGUGCUAAAAAUAAGUGCAGUGUUAUUCCUUCAAUCCCCUCUCAGUGCUUGGAUUGAUUACUCCUCAAAUUCCUUGCUAAGAAAUUCUUCCUAAUAGAGAUUUAUUUGUAUGUAACCCAAAACUCCUAUUUGCAAACAACUGAUGGAGUUAUGAAAAGUCUUUCUUCAGUAGGUUAAACAUUUCCUGCAGUUGCUUUACAGACACUUUGUCAUUGUUACAAAGUAAAUCUUUAGUUUAAUCCUUAGUCAUAUCAAAAUUUUAAAUUAAUCGAGUCUGAAUCAUGAUUUUAUAAUAUUCCUAGAUUUGUGUAAUAAAGCAUUAACAAUAUUAACAAUUAUGAUACUUUUUUAAUGUGUUACACUCAAUUUGUUGGAGCAGAAAAGAUACGACAAACUAUAGAUGCCAGUGGAAAAGAAAAACAGAUUCUGGGGCGCCUAGGUGGCGCAGUCGGUUAAGCGUCCGACUUCAGCCAGGUCACGAUCUCGCGGUCCGGGAGUUCGAGCCCCGCGUCAGGCUCUGGGCUGAUGGCUCGGAGCCUGGAGCCUGUUUCCGAUUCUGUGUCUCCCUCUCUCUCUGCCCCUCCCCCGUUCAUGCUCUGUCUCUCUCUGUCCGAAAAAUAAAUAAACGUUGAAAAAAAAAAAAAAAUGAAAAAAAAAAAAAAAAAAAAAAAAAAAAAAAGAAAAACAGAUUCAAAUUAUCCAGUGAUGUACUCAACUAUAAACUACAUUUUUAAAAGGGGGACAUAAAAUAUCCUGGGCACUUGUGCAUAUUCUUGUGUAUAUGUUCUUGUGUUGUUGGUGGUGGUGUAUAUUGUUUUGGCUUUGUUUUGUUUUUUUGUUCCCUAUAUUAAACCAAAUAAGAGCUUUUCUGACUUGGUGGUAGAAAGUCAGGAUAGAGAGCUGGCUGAUCUGUCCUCCAUUUCUAAGUUGUAUAUAAUCUGUUGGGCUACUCUUGUGUCCCCCUCUUCAUAUGUUUAGAUGGCUGGUGCUGACCGCCAUAACAAGGUCUGUGUCAUAGCUAUGUAAUAUAAGAAUGCUAAAGUUAUCACACUUAUAUUACUGUAAAUUCAGCGCCUGAUGCUGUACAAUUACGAUACUGCAUUUGAAGAAAAUAAAAAAGCGAAUUCAAAUUUGUGU
Molecule: long non-coding RNA, 2083 nt
Filed under: Lynx pardinus (Iberian lynx)
Lineage: Eukaryota; Metazoa; Chordata; Mammalia; Carnivora; Felidae
Source: RNAcentral